RNAcentral lists this ribosomal RNA (253 nucleotides) under uncultured bacterium. RNAcentral describes it as "partial 16S ribosomal RNA". It matches the Rfam family "Bacterial small subunit ribosomal RNA", at positions 524 to 776 of the family's 1533-position model. The record is from RNAcentral.
UACAGAGGUCCCGAGCGUUGUUCGGAGUUACUGGGCGUAAAGCGUGCGUAGGCGGUUUUGCAAGUCUGGUGUGAAAUCUCCCGGCUCAACUGGGAGGGUGCGCCGGAAACUGCAAGGCUGGAGUAUGGGAGAGGUAGGCGGAAUUCCUGGUGUAGCGGUGAAAUGCGUAGAUAUCAGGAGGAACACCUGUGGUGUAGACGGCUUACUGGACCAUGACUGACGCUGAUGUACGAAAGCGUGGGGAGCAAACAGG